This is a small nucleolar RNA of Equus asinus (donkey), 138 nucleotides long. Ensembl annotates it as small nucleolar RNA, H/ACA box 47. Its record names the gene SNORA47. The record is from Ensembl. NCBI's taxonomy places the organism in Eukaryota, Metazoa, Chordata, Mammalia, Perissodactyla, Equidae.
UGGAGGACUGAGAAGGUGAGGCAGUCCUGUACCAUGCUGCCUUCUACCGGUUAAGACCUCCGAGAGUGAAGGCCUGCCGAGGCAGAGGAUGUCCCUCUGCCGCCCUCGGAGGGGCAGCCCUGUGCUGGCUGACAUUUG